CCGGACAAUUUACGGUAUCUGUCGCUGACUCGUCUGCGGGUCAGUUGGAUCAAAGUUCCAGUGCCUACGACUCAUCUAAGUCCAGUGGAACUAUCGCACUAGGCAACAUCGGUCUGCACGGUUUAUUCCAAACCUCCAGUCAUGGUAAAAAGUCUAGCUCUAGCUCAAGUUAUUCGACAUCUGGAAGUUCAUCACAAUCAUCGAGCUUCCAUAGCGGUCCAUACAACAUCGCACUUCUUGCUUCUGGUGAUAUUAGCCAUCAGGACGCUACGAGACCCGGCGUUUUGACUUCGUAUGGAGGAAGUCAAGUCCAACAAUCUAUU
This 323-nucleotide unclassified non-coding RNA is filed under the name Athalia rosae (coleseed sawfly). RNAcentral describes it as "misc RNA ENSAEAG00005003438.1". The record is from RNAcentral. Lineage: Eukaryota; Metazoa; Arthropoda; Insecta; Hymenoptera; Athaliidae.